Salvelinus fontinalis (brook trout) is the source of this 1595-nucleotide long non-coding RNA. RefSeq lists it as uncharacterized. NCBI's taxonomy places the organism in Eukaryota, Metazoa, Chordata, Actinopteri, Salmoniformes, Salmonidae. The transcript has 2 exons. The record is from RefSeq and is a predicted model, not a curated record.
UGCGUGAGUUCCAAAUAUUUCUAACGGUCGCCCCAGCGUGAGUUUUUUUAUGCACGUGAUGUUAGAACGUUCUCUCCAUUCCAGAAUGUGAUUGUUAUGUAACAGUACAUUUAACCUGCGCUGCCCUCAAACCAAAGCACGCAGCCUGUUUUAUUUGUCAAUUUAAAAUUAUUUUCUAACAAGUUUUUUAUUUUCUAAUAACAGUUUGAAAUGAUGUGUGUUUCGCCUUAUUCAUUCACAUAAAAGUAGUCAUUUUUACUUUUGCGGACCAAUUAAUUUUUGGGACAUUUCUGACCCGGACAAAAUUCCCCAAACACUUCUCAAUUGUUUGUGCAGGACAUUUACUCAUCUGCCGUCCUGCAUACACGUGUUCAUAUUUUCCACCUGUCGCCUGCAUCGAAAUCAAAGUUGUUUUCGUUACCAAUAAUACCUUUGGUUAUGUGUGCGUUUCUAUCAAAGUGCCUUAAUACGUUAUAAUAGUUUCUGCAUGUCGUGUUAUGUCGUUUCUACUGUAACGUCAUGUUUUUAUGUACAUUCCUUAUAACCGCGGACAGGCGAUGUAACGUUACUCAUUUCAUAACAUUUAUGUUGUUAUACUCAAUGCUUAGGUAUCUAGCUACAUUCUCCUAUUAGCUCUGGAAAACAAUGCUAAUUUCGUCAGGGAAGUAUUAGCAUGUGUUGUAUUUCGAAGCUACCCUGGCCUUAUGACUCCCAAGUGGCACAGCGUCUCAGCGCUAGAAGCGUCACUACAGAGACCCAUCUUCAAAUCAAGACUGCGUUUCUAUCAAAGUGGUCCACCUUCCCUGUGGCCAACAUGGUUGCUGUAUGGACAGUGGAGAGGACUUGGACGUCUCGUUUGUCAUGCCACUUUACUGCCAGCUGUUAACAUUUCUUAUUUUGUAUAACGGGUCAUUUAGGAUGGUAGUAGCGUUGAUGAAAUGCAGUCAUAGCAGCAGAACUAGAAAGCAGUCUUUACUGUCACCAGGAAUGUGUACAUUUCACAAAUUGUGGUUGUCCCCCACUCCUGGCUCUCUCUUCUCCUGUAGCUCCAAGGCAUAGUGAUUGGUCUCUACUAUGUCUCCCACCAGCUCCUCUGUCAGAAACAACUUGAAGCACUCUGCCUCAGUUGGAAAUGGCAAGGGGCGUUGCACUCCAGACUGGGACUCAUCAACACAAUCAGCAGGGCCAGGAGGGAUGAAAUGGCUGUCAGCCUUCCAGCUACCACAGAACUGUACUUCAUCCACUGUCAGUCUGCCACCAUCACCACCAGCAUCUUCAAAGGGACCUGGGACUUCCUCAGUGGACAAGGGAAAUUCAGAUUCAGGGUUCUCAGUGGCUACAAGGUUGGGGGGCAGCUCCUCACUCAGUCAGAAUCUGAUUCCUGACUUUCAUACUCUGACUCAUUGUCAGAAUUUUUAAAAAAUCUCCAUAAUUUCCACAUUUGUUUGUUGUCUCCUUUUGAAAGAUUGCUAAUGCUUCAGCUUAGCUCACUAGCUACAUACAUAAACAACAACACUGAAUGGUUUACAGUGAGAGGGUACGUGGUUGACUGCCGGCACGCGCCACUUGUAUCAAUAAAUCACUAUCAGAAAAUG